Molecule: long non-coding RNA, 610 nt
Filed under: Numida meleagris (helmeted guineafowl)
Lineage: Eukaryota; Metazoa; Chordata; Aves; Galliformes; Numididae
Description: lncRNA (ENSNMEG00000009922.1)
Source: RNAcentral
AUUAAGACCUGGAUGAUUGAGGUGCUCUCAUGAGCACUUUGGUUCUUUAAGAUUUUGCUCCUCUCCCUUGAAUGGUUCUUAUCGCAGGGUUGCCUUUAGAGGAGGGUAAAGUACAGUCUGAUCCCACAACGCAUGGCUAACUGGCUUGCAUCUCUCCCUGACUCCUAAAGAAGGAAGACCCACAGAGGAGAAAUGUUCUGAAUGUCAGUGGGAUCCACAGAAGAGCAGGAAUAAGCUGCUCACAGCCAGCUCGAAUCACCACUGAAGUCUUGAAUAAGCAUCUACUAGGAGUUUGACUUAGAAGUGAGACAGAAACAAGAAGAGGAAAAUAUCCGCUCACUGUGGGUGGGGAGAAAAGAGACCUUUCAGGAGUGCUUGCACAACGUUAACUAGUGUGCAGCUUUCUUGCUCUGCCUGUCAUCAUGUUCUUCAGACAACAGAGGAAAACAAAUCAUUCUAAAUAACUUGAACUGCUGGGUGCAGAGAACCUGGAAUGUACAGCAUGACUCAAAAGAAGACUAUUAAUGGUGUUUGCUGACUGCCAGUUGUUCAUUGACAAUGGAUAGAUUGGUUCAGGCAAGUACACCUUCUAGGACUAUUGCUAGGCAAG